UGUGGCUGUGGUGUAGGCCGGCAGCUGUAGUUCUGAUUUGACCUCUAGCCUGAGAACUUCCAUAUGCCGCAGGUGCGGACCCACAAAGAAAAUACGAAACAAAAACAAAAACCCCAUAAGCUAUGUAUGGAUAAGUAGGAGCCGUGAAUUGACAGAAGUGUGAGUCAGCAGAAACUGAUAACAGAGAGUAGAGUGGGGACUGCAGAGAAACAGGCCAACACCCAGAGGUGCCAGGCCCCGUGAUGGUGGAGCCACAGCACAGAGCUAGUGUGUCCCUGCUGAGGGGCAUCCACACGUGUUCCCCUGAGUUACAGUAGAUGCUCUCAGGUGACUAGAGCUGCUGCUGCCACAGAAAGCUAACUUUGAUCUUUCCAAUCUUGUUAUGAAACCUGAGACUUAUUUCUCUUCCUUGCAACCUACUAAGCCCUGACGGACAACCCCAGACACAUCAAAGCAAAGACUCAGUUUCCUCACCUGCAAAAUGCUCACCGCUGUGGCUUUCAGGUUCAGCAUCCAUCCCUUCCUUGGGUUGAUGACUUUUAUCUGAAACAUUGCACUUCUGGGCCUGCCAAUCUUGGACCCCACCUCCAAGGGCCACAAAAAGCAGGCUUCUGGGACAGACUCCAUUGCAGGUAUGGGCCUCUUUUGCAGAGACACCUCCACAGCAGGGGUUGGAACCCUGGAGAGCUCCUGGAUCCCUCUGGCUAGGAUGUUAUGAGCUGUCCUGGUUCCUGUUUUCCAAGGCCUGUUUAUUCAGCUCUUUUAUUCUGGGACUUUCUAAAUUGCCUUUUAUGGAGCCCCGUUUCUGUUUUAAGUAAUAAGGCUAAAUGGACACACCCCUCACAGGGUUGAUUUGAAGUGAAAUAAGUGACUCCUAGACAGAUGUUCCUUCCUGCUCCUGGUUUUUCCCUUCAUCUGCCUUCUCCUGCUCCACCUGAGCUAACAUUUCUGGGCUCAGUGUACCAGAGUUCUUACACUGUUCUCCUCUCUUGAAUGAAUAUUCUAAGUUAACCCCCCCACCCCCCACCCCCGCCCCGCAACUUCCGUGGCCUUUAGUCCUUCCUAAAAGCCUUUUCACGCUUCAGUUUCUGUGUACUCUAAGCGCUAAGACAAACAGGGCUCCUCCGCAGUACCGGAGGUAUCCCAGUAGGUGGCAGCACAUGACCACAAAUGUCCUGAAAUAGCCCAAGGCCAGCCUGGUGGGAGGGCGAGUGAGAUACUUGGGGCUGAGUAUUUAUUAGUUGCGGCAGAGGUGACUAAGAGGGAAGAGGAAGGAAAGUGGGCACCUGCUGGCUUUGAGGAAACAGAGUUGUUUGAGGUUUGGAAGACAGGAGUAGUUGGAGCACCCAGUCCAUGGACCAUCCAUCCAUCCAAUGAAUGUUUUUGAGCAUAUGUACUAGGCUCUGGAGAUGCAGUAGUGAACCAGACAGAUACAGGCAGCCCCAGCCCUUGUUGAGCUGGCACCUAACUUUGAGCCAUCCUUUGUGUGUGUGUGUGUGUGUGUGUGUGUUUAGGCCCCACCUUUGGCAUGGAAGUUUCCAGGUUAGGGGUCCAACUGGAGCUGUAGGGCUGGAACCUGCAUCCUCACAGACACUAUGUCGGGUUCUUCACCUGCUGAACCACAAAGGGAACUCCCACAGCCCUAUUCUUACUAGGUGCUCCCCAGUUGCUUUCCAAGUUUGCUGACAUCAUUUGCAUCCUCACCUGCAGUGAGUGAGCUAAUAAUGACUGUUUCACAGGAGCAAGUGAAUCCAAGUCCCUGCAGCCCAAAGCCGGAGCCCUCAUCCUCUGCUCAAAGGACCUCCAGUGGCCCAGCCCUUGGCCACAGACACAGACGGCUGGGCUGUGGCAGGUUUGAAGUGCUUUGUGUCCUUAGGUGGCAGUGUGGUACAGCUGCAAAGGCACUGGGCUGAGAGUGGGAAAACCUGGAUUCUAGCUGAGACAUGGACUCAACUUCCCCGUGUGUCUGCACUGUCACUUUCCCACACUGAGCCUCGGGACCCCCUUGAAUGCUGGGAGCCGAGGUCCUGAGCAGGGUUCUUUCUGACACUCACCCAGGUGGUCAGAGCACGGGUUCCAGAGCCUGGUUCUGUGUCUUUUUUUGUGCCUUGGCCCCAUCUUAGAGUAAUGUGGUUUUUUUUCUUUUUUCUUUGUUUUUUUGAUUUUUAGGGCUGCACCCACAGCAUAUGGAAGUUCCAAGGCUAGGGGUCAAAUAGGAGCUACAGCUGCCAGCCUACACCACAGGUCACAGCAACGCCGGAUCCCUGACCCACUGCACAAGGCCAGAAAUCAAACCCACAUCCUCAUGGAUACUAGUCAGAUUCGUUUCUUCUGUGCCACAAUGGGAAUUCCUACAAUGGGUUUUUUGUUUGUUUUUACAGCUGCCUGUGGCAUAUGGAAUUUCCAGGCCUAGGAGUCAAAUCAGGGCUGCAGCUGUAGCCUACACCACGACCAUGGCAACACCCAUUCCGAGCUGUACCUAUGGGCUACAUCUUGAGCAACCCCAAUCCUUAACCCACUGAGUGAAGCCAGGGAUCGAACCUGCAUCCUCAGAGAAAACUUUGGGUCCUUAACCCACUGAGACACAAUGGGAACUCCAGAGAGUAAUAUUUCUUAAAAACAUAAAAUCCAUAAGAUUACAAAGUCAACCAUAUACAAAUAUGCAUGUACACACACACAUAUAUAUAUGUGUAUGUAUAUAUGAAUAUAUAUAUUAUAUUGAGGUUUAAUCAUUGUAGGAGUUCUUGUUGUGGCUCAGUGGUAACAAACCCAACUAGCACCAUGAGGACGUGAGUUCGAUCCCUGGCCUCACUCAGUGGGUUAAGGAUCCAGCAUUGCUAUGAGCUGUGGUGUAGGUCGCAGACGUGGCUCGGAUCCUGCGUUGCUGUGGCUCUGGUGCAGGCUGGCAGCUACAUCUCUUAUUUAAUCCCUAGCCUGGGAUCUUCCAUAUGCCGUAAGUACAGCCCUAAAAAAAAUAAAAAAAAUAAAAAAUAAAGUAAAAAAUAAAUAAAUAAAAAGAAAAUGUGGUAUAUAUUAAAUACAAGGAGAUACUGUUCGCUCUUAAAAA
Molecule: long non-coding RNA, 3067 nt
Filed under: Sus scrofa (pig)
Lineage: Eukaryota; Metazoa; Chordata; Mammalia; Artiodactyla; Suidae
Description: lncRNA (ENSSSCG00055026858.1)
Source: RNAcentral